This 504-nucleotide ribosomal RNA is filed under the name uncultured bacterium. Its description in RNAcentral is "partial 16S ribosomal RNA". It matches the Rfam family "Bacterial small subunit ribosomal RNA", at positions 28 to 507 of the family's 1533-position model. The record is from RNAcentral.
GACGAACGCUGGCGGCGUGCUUAACACAUGCAAGUCGAACGGUGAAGCGCUUGCCUUUUUGGUGGGUGUGGAUGAGUGGCGAACGGGUGAGUAACACGUGAGUAACCUGCCCUCUUCUUCUGGAUAACCUCAUGAAAGUGGGGCUAAUACGGGGUAUUCCGGGUCUGUCGCAUGGCGGGUUUGGGAAAGAUUGCGCCUUUGGGUGUUUUCGGUGGGGGAUGGGCUCGCGGCCUAUCAGCUUGUUGGUGGGGUGAUGGCCUACCAAGGCGGUGACGGGUAGCCGGCCUGAGGGGGUGGACGGCCACACUGGGACUGAGACACGGCCCAGACUCCUGCGGGAGGCAGCAGUGGGGAAUAUUGCACAAUGGGCGCAAGCCUGAUGCAGCGACGCCGCGUGAGGGAUGGAGGCCUUCGGGUGGUGAACCUCUUUCGCCAGUGAAGCAGGCCUGCUCCUGUGUGGGUGGGUUGACGGUAGCUGGAUAAGAAGCGCCGGCUAACUACGUG